CCUACGGGAGGCAGCAGUGAGGAAUAUUGGUCAAUGGCCGUAAGCCUGAACCAGCCAAGUCGCGUGAAGGAAGAAGGAUCUAUGGUUUGUAAACUUCUUUUAUAGGGGAAUAAAGGUCUGCACGUGUGGAUUUUUGCAUGUACCCUAUGAAUAAGGAUCGGCUAACUCCGUGCCAGCAGCCGCGGUAAUACGGAGGAUCCGAGCGUUAUCCGGAUUUAUUGGGUUUAAAGGGUGCGUAGGUGGUUUUUUAAGUCAGCGGUGAAAGUUUGUGGCUCAACCAUUAAAUUGCCGUUGAAACUGGAAGACUUGAGUGUGUUUGAGGUAGGCGGAAUGCGUGGUGUAGCGGUGAAAUGCAUAGAUAUCACGAAGAACUCCGAUUGCGAAGGCAGCUUACUAAACCGUAACUGACACUGAGGCACGAAAGCGUGGGGAGCAAACAGGAUUAGAUACCCCAGUAGUC
Molecule: ribosomal RNA, 460 nt
Filed under: uncultured bacterium
Lineage: Bacteria
Description: partial 16S ribosomal RNA
Rfam family: Bacterial small subunit ribosomal RNA
Source: RNAcentral